RNAcentral lists this long non-coding RNA (354 nucleotides) under Anser brachyrhynchus (Pink-footed goose). RNAcentral's name for it is "lncRNA (ENSABRG00000009483.1)". Lineage: Eukaryota; Metazoa; Chordata; Aves; Anseriformes; Anatidae. The record is from RNAcentral.
AUGUUAAGUAUUAAAUUCCUUUGCAGAUACCCUGCGCAUAGAGUGACUGCACUGUGUUUGAAAAGUGUGAGGCUGGAGCUCCAGAAAUGUAGAACUGAACUGGCUCAGGGGAUCUCCGUACCAGACCUGUGAAGAGACCAGAGCAGCGCUGGGCUUUCCGCAGACCUCCUUCCCCUGGAAUGGAUUUGUGCUGAAUUACAGCAGCUUCUGGCUGCACAUAAAGUGGCCCAGUAUGACGCCCACUUGGAAGCCAGCAGGGGCUCAUCACUCAGCGCAAGGAGAGCGCCUCUGCACAAGGCAAGCUGCAGAAGUGCCUAUCGCCUGCAGGUUUUGUUUCUGAUCCUCUAAUCCAGU